Peromyscus maniculatus bairdii (prairie deer mouse) is the source of this 952-nucleotide non-coding RNA. Lineage: Eukaryota; Metazoa; Chordata; Mammalia; Rodentia; Cricetidae. The record is from RefSeq and is a predicted model, not a curated record.
AUAGCUCAGCAGUUAUUUCUUUUAAAAGAAUUAAAAGAAGUGGCAAAAGACUAAAAUAUGAGGACAGAUAAGGACACUACAGUUAUAUGAACUGUUGACAGACACUGUGGGGGGGUCGGGGACUGAAAGCAUGCCAUAUUUCCAGUGCUGUUAUAGUUAGUAUAUAGUAUUCACAAGCAAGGCCUGAUCAUCAACCAGUCUCUGGUUUAGUGCACUGUCUUUUCACUUGUCAAUACUCACUUUGAAAGGACACCAAUAAGAACUACUGGGGUUUGCAAGGUGGCCCGGAGGUGAAGAUUCUGUUGUUGUAGAGGACCCCAGUUCUGUUACCAAGCCCCACUGAUGACUCACAAUCACCUACCCCUCCAGCUUCAGGGAGCCUGGUGUCCUCUUCUGACCUCUGAGGGCACCUUGUACAGUGUGGGGAUUGGGGUUUCCUGGGCUGUCUAUGCUAAUCUGUGGUCAUUAUUAGAGUUUAGAACAUGCACAGACAUGGAUACUGGAUUACGCUCUGCCUAUGACUUCUGAAGCCACCCCCUGGCGAAAGCCACUGGCUCUCACCCUGUCCUGGACGUCAGUGAUUAAUAAUGUCUGUGCAGUGGACAGCGUCACUCUUCUGGGGUCUGACCGUGUGUGUCCUCCACACACAUCCCGAAUUCUCCUCCAUACACAUCCUUCUGAAACCUGCAGUCCACUGAGGUGCCUUUCAGAACUCCCUGUUUCUUCCUCAUCAACAAGCUUGAUUGUUUCAGGCAAGGUGGGAGUCUCAGACAAAGACACAGAGAGAAGCCUGAGUCUACAGAGCAGCCCUAAAAAAUGAAGUCUUUCGCUCAGCUCGCCUCUUUUAGGAGGUCUCAACAUGACCUUAAGAUGUUGUGUGAUGGAACAGAGCUUCUAAGGGUUAAAAGCUUGCUUACAAAUGAAGACAGUAAAAUACCAAAGCCAAAGUUGA